CCUACGGGCGGCAGCAGUGGGGAAUAUUGGACAAUGGGGGGAACCCUGAUCCAGCCAUGCCGCGUGUGUGAAGAAGGCCCUCGGGUUGUAAAGCACUUUCAGUGAGGAAGAACGCCUGGUGGUUAAUACCCAUCAGGAAAGACAUCACUCACAGAAGAAGCACCGGCUAACUCCGUGCCAGCAGCCGCGGUAAUACGGAGGGUGCGAGCGUUAAUCGGAAUUACUGGGCGUAAAGCGCGCGUAGGUGGCUUGAUAAGCCGGUUGUGAAAGCCCCGGGCUCAACCUGGGAACGGCAUCCGGAACUGUCAAGCUAGAGUGCAGGAGAGGAAGGUAGAAUUCCCGGUGUAGCGGUGAAAUGCGUAGAGAUCGGGAGGAAUACCAGUGGCGAAGGCGGCCUUCUGGACUGACACUGACACUGAGGUGCGAAAGCGUGGGUAGCAAACAGGAUUAGAUACCCUAGUAGU
This 464-nucleotide ribosomal RNA is filed under the name Vreelandella stevensii. Its description in RNAcentral is "partial 16S ribosomal RNA". It matches the Rfam family "Bacterial small subunit ribosomal RNA", at positions 338 to 794 of the family's 1533-position model. The record is from RNAcentral. Lineage: Bacteria; Pseudomonadati; Pseudomonadota; Gammaproteobacteria; Oceanospirillales; Halomonadaceae.